UACGGGGGGGGCAAGCGUUGUUCGGAAUUACUGGGCGUAAAGGGCUCGUAGGUGGCCAACUAAGUCAGACGUGAAAUCCCUCAGCUUAACUGGGGAACUGCGUCUGAUACUGGAUGGCUUGAGUUUGGGAGAGGGAUGCGGAAUUCCAGGUGUAGCGGUGAAAUGCGUAGAUAUCUGGAGGAACACCGGUGGCGAAGGCGGCAUCCUGGACCAACACUGACACUGAGGCGCGAAAGCUAGGGGAGCAAACGGG
Molecule: ribosomal RNA, 253 nt
Filed under: uncultured bacterium
Lineage: Bacteria
Description: partial 16S ribosomal RNA
Rfam family: Bacterial small subunit ribosomal RNA
Source: RNAcentral